GAUGAAGAACGUAGCGAAAUGCGAUAAGUAAUGUGAAUUGCAGAAUUCAGUGAAUCAUCGAAUCUUUGAACGCACAUUGCGCCCGCCAGUAUUCUGGCGAGCAUGCCUGUUCGAGCGUCAUUUCAACCAUCAAGCCCCAGGCUUGUGUUGGAGCCCUGCGGCUGCCGCAGCCUCCCAAAACCAGUGGCGGGCUCGCUAUCACACCGAGUGCAGUAGUUUACUCUUCGCUCAGGGCGUGUGGCGGGUGCUAGCCGUAAAACCCCCAACUUCUCAAGGUUGACCUCGGAUCAGGUAGGAAUACCCGCUGAACUUAAGCAUAUCAAUAAGCGGAGGA
This 334-nucleotide unclassified non-coding RNA is filed under the name soil metagenome. RNAcentral's name for it is "partial contains 5.8S ribosomal RNA, internal transcribed spacer 2, and large subunit ribosomal RNA". The stretch from base 1 to 120 matches the Rfam family "5.8S ribosomal RNA", at positions 35 to 154 of the family's 154-position model. The record is from RNAcentral.